GUCACUGUAAUGGUUGCUAACGAUUUGUUAGCUGUUGAUUAAUGGAAGAAAAACCCAAUUUUAAAAAAAAGAAAUCUUGUACCAGUUGCGCGAUCGAGCUCUUCAGGCCUUGAGGACUUGUUUAGUACAAAUAUUGUUUAAUUAUAGAGUAACUAAGUUCAAAAAAUUCAUCUAAUAAAUUACAGAUAAAUUAUAUAAUU
RNAcentral lists this long non-coding RNA (200 nucleotides) under Sorghum bicolor (sorghum). Its description in RNAcentral is "long non-coding RNA (SBIC_LNC007406)". Lineage: Eukaryota; Viridiplantae; Streptophyta; Magnoliopsida; Poales; Poaceae. The record is from RNAcentral.